Oreochromis niloticus (Nile tilapia) is the source of this 1439-nucleotide long non-coding RNA. RefSeq lists it as uncharacterized. Lineage: Eukaryota; Metazoa; Chordata; Actinopteri; Cichliformes; Cichlidae. The record is from RefSeq and is a predicted model, not a curated record. The transcript is spliced from 5 exons.
UUCUUCUUUGGUUGUUUGGUGUGCGCUACACUGCCCCCUUUGGUGAUGUGUUGUAAGCAGCAGAAAAAGUUCACUCAAGCAGUGUGAGAAAAUGCAUGGAGCAGAAAACAACCUGCACAACUUUAAGCCCAGUUUACAUCGUUGGGGAGUUUGUUGAGCCAUAAUCUGGACACCCAAAUUCUGCAGAAAGCUCACUCCCUUCAGGUGUCCUAAUUUGAGAGUAAAAUAUGUGUGAAGAACAAAGAAAAAACUCUUUGAACGUCAGCUUCAGUCAGCAGAUGAAAAGAUAUGUUGUCAGAUGCCAAGAAUGGAAGAAACCUGUUUACUGCUCAUCCUGCUGCUCUCAGGAGGGCUUUCCACUCUUCCUCCCCACUCCAGAGAAUACCACUUUGUGAACCAGCUGAUGACCUGGACUGAAGCUCAGAGUUACUGCAGAGAACACUUCACUGACUUGGUCACCAUCUACAACAGCAACAUCAACCAACUGCUUUUCUCAAUGUCACCAAGGAUCAGUACUGGGGCUUGGUUAGGUCUCUAUAAUGAUCGUUACAGCUGGAAGUGGUCCAUGGAGGGAAAACUUUUUAAUGUUGGCAGUACACAUGAAUUUUUGAUCUGGGCUAACGGCCAACCAGACUGUCUAAAUGGAAAGGAAUACUGUGUGGCUCUUCAGGGACAAACACAGAUGGAUGAUAGACCCUGUGGAGAUUCUUACCCUUUCCUAUGUUACAAUGGUAUUAAAAAAAGGCUUGUUGCCCUAGUUAUCCCUACAAUUGUGUGAGAUUUAUAAUGUGUUUUUCAAAAUUCAUCAUUUUUUAAAUCUUUCACAGCAAAAAAUACAAGUUACAUCUUAGUGAUGGAGAGUCGCUCCUGGUCAGCGGCCCAGUCGUACUGCAGGACAUACCACACAGACCUGACCAGUAUAAGAAGCAAAGAGGAGAAAUCCAACAUCACGCUCACUUUGAAUGGAUCAGGGGCUCAGUAUGUGUGGAUUGGCCUCUACAGGGAUCCCUGGGCCCCCUGGUCUGACAACACAACCUCCACAUUCACUAACUGGGGGUCUGCUGAGCCUAAUAAUGGAAAUUCAAUUGAGUACUGUGGAGAUUUGAAUUUACUGUCAGGGAAAUGGUAUGAUUGCUACUGUGAUGCCAAACUCUUUUUUUUCUGUUUCGCAGGUGAGGUCCAGAAUGCAAACACUGUAAGAUCCUGUCAUCAUGUGAAAUACUAAUGUUUGUGUUUUUAUAUGUGGUUCAUUUUUAGCAGUGACAAAGCAAACAGUGCUGAAAAUGAAGCUUCAGUCAGAGGCAGACAUGCACAGCACAGAGAUCCAGCAGCAGGUUUCACAGCAGCUGUCAGGCCUCAUGCUGUCAGAAGGACUGACAGACUUCAGGAUUCGUUGGAGGAAAGUCCAGAGUUACCAUGACGACCAGAUGAAGAAGCAG